Molecule: ribosomal RNA, 843 nt
Filed under: Staphylococcus pasteuri
Lineage: Bacteria; Bacillati; Bacillota; Bacilli; Caryophanales; Staphylococcaceae
Description: bacterial SSU rRNA
Rfam family: Bacterial small subunit ribosomal RNA
Source: RNAcentral
ACAGAUGAGGAGCUUGCUCCUUUGACGUUAGCGGCGGACGGGUGAGUAACACGUGGAUAACCUACCUAUAAGACUGGGAUAACUUCGGGAAACCGGAGCUAAUACCGGAUAAGAUUUUGAACCGCAUGGUUCAAUAGUGAAAGACGGCCUUGCUGUCACUUAUAGAUGGAUCCGCGCCGUAUUAGCUAGUUGGUAAGGUAACGGCUUACCAAGGCAACGAUACGUAGCCGACCUGAGAGGGUGAUCGGCCACACUGGAACUGAGACACGGUCCAGACUCCUACGGGAGGCAGCAGUAGGGAAUCUUCCGCAAUGGGCGAAAGCCUGACGGAGCAACGCCGCGUGAGUGAUGAAGGUCUUCGGAUCGUAAAACUCUGUUAUCAGGGAAGAACAAACGUGUAAGUAACUGUGCACGUCUUGACGGUACCUGAUCAGAAAGCCACGGCUAACUACGUGCCAGCAGCCGCGGUAAUACGUAGGUGGCAAGCGUUAUCCGGAAUUAUUGGGCGUAAAGCGCGCGUAGGCGGUUUUUUAAGUCUGAUGUGAAAGCCCACGGCUCAACCGUGGAGGGUCAUUGGAAACUGGAAAACUUGAGUGCAGAAGAGGAAAGUGGAAUUCCAUGUGUAGCGGUGAAAUGCGCAGAGAUAUGGAGGAACACCAGUGGCGAAGGCGACUUUCUGGUCUGUAACUGACGCUGAUGUGCGAAAGCGUGGGGAUCAAACAGGAUUAGAUACCCUGGUAGUCCACGCCGUAAACGAUGAGUGCUAAGUGUUAGGGGGGUUUCCGCCCCUUAGUGCUGCAGCUAACGCAUUAAGCACUCCGCCUGGGGAGUACGACCGCAAGG